This 765-nucleotide ribosomal RNA is filed under the name uncultured Streptococcus sp. RNAcentral's name for it is "bacterial SSU rRNA". It matches the Rfam family "Bacterial small subunit ribosomal RNA", at positions 28 to 776 of the family's 1533-position model. The record is from RNAcentral. Lineage: Bacteria; Bacillati; Bacillota; Bacilli; Lactobacillales; Streptococcaceae.
GACGAACGCUGGCGGCGUGCCUAAUACAUGCAAGUAGAACGCUGAAGAGAGGAGCUUACUCUUCUUGGAUGAGUUGCGAACGGGUGAGUAACGCGUAGGUAACCUGCCUUGUAGCGGGGGAUAACUAUUGGAAACGAUAGCUAAUACCGCAUAACAAUGGAUGACACAUGUCAUUUAUUUGAAAGGGGCAAUUGCUCCACUACAAGAUGGACCUGCGUUGUAUUAGCUAGUAGGUGAGGUAAUGGCUCACCUAGGCGACGAUACAUAGCCGACCUGAGAGGGUGAUCGGCCACACUGGGACUGAGACACGGCCCAGACUCCUACGGGAGGCAGCAGUAGGGAAUCUUCGGCAAUGGGGGCAACCCUGACCGAGCAACGCCGCGUGAGUGAAGAAGGUUUUCGGAUCGUAAAGCUCUGUUGUAAGUCAAGAACGGGUGUGAGAGUGGAAAGUUCACACUGUGACGGUAGCUUACCAGAAAGGGACGGCUAACUACGUGCCAGCAGCCGCGGUAAUACGUAGGUCCCGAGCGUUGUCCGGAUUUAUUGGGCGUAAAGCGAGCGCAGGCGGUUUGAUAAGUCUGAAGUUAAAGGCUGUGGCUCAACCAUAGUUCGCUUUGGAAACUGUCAAACUUGAGUGCAGAAGGGGAGAGUGGAAUUCCAUGUGUAGCGGUGAAAUGCGUAGAUAUAUGGAGGAACACCGGUGGCGAAAGCGGCUCUCUGGUCUGUAACUGACGCUGAGGCUCGAAAGCGUGGGGAGCGAACAGG